AGAGGGGGGUAGAAUUCCAGGUGUAGCGGUGAAAUGCGUAGAGAUCUGGAGGAAUACCGGUGGCGAAGGCGGCCCCCUGGACGAAGACUGACGCUCAGGUGCGAAAGCGUGGGGAGCAAACAGGAUUAGAUACCCUAGUAGUCCACGCCGUAAACGAUGUCGACUUGGAGGUUGUGCCCUUGAGGCGUGGCUUCCGGAGCUAACGCGUUAAGUCGACCGCCUGGGGAGUACGGCCGCAAGGUUAAAACUCAAAUGAAUUGACGGGGGCCCGCACAAGCGGUGGAGCAUGUGGUUUAAUUCGAUGCAACGCGAAGAACCUUACCUGGUCUUGACAUCCACAGAACUUUCCAGAGAUGGAUUGGUGCCUUCGGGAACUGUGAGACAGGUGCUGCAUGGCUGUCGUCAGCUCGUGUUGUGAAAUGUUGGGUUAAGUCCCGCAACGAGCGCAACCCUUAUCCUUUGUUGCCAGCGGUCCGGCCGGGAACUCAAAGGAGACUGCCAGUGAUAAACUGGAGGAAGGUGGGGAUGACGUCAAGUCAUCAUGGCCCUUACGACCAGGGCUACACACGUGCUACAAUGGCGCAUACAAAGAGAAGCGACCUCGCGAGAGCAAGCGGACCUCAUAAAGUGCGUCGUAGUCCGGAUUGGAGUCUGCAACUCGACUCCAUGAAGUCGGAAUCGCUAGUAAUCGUGGAUCAGAAUGCCACGGUGAAUACGUUCCCGGGCCUUGUACACACCGCCCGUCACACCAUGGGAGUGGGUUGCAAAAGAAGUANNNAGCUUAACCUUCGGGAGGGCGCUUACCACUUUGUGAUUCAUGACUGGGGUGAAGUCGUAACAAGGUAACCGUAA
Molecule: ribosomal RNA, 852 nt
Filed under: uncultured bacterium
Lineage: Bacteria
Description: bacterial SSU rRNA
Rfam family: Bacterial small subunit ribosomal RNA
Source: RNAcentral